UACGGGGGGGGCAAGCGUUGUUCGGAAUUACUGGGCGUAAAGGGCUCGUAGGUGGCCCCAUAAGUCAGACGUGAAAUCCCUCGGCUCAACCGAGGAACUGCGUCUGAGACUGCGGGGCUUGAAUCCGGGAGAGGGAUGCGGAAUUCCCGGUGUAGCGGUGAAAUGCGCAGAUAUCGGGAGGAACACCGGUGGCGAAGGCGGUUCUCUGGGCCUGACCUGACGCUGAGGAGCGAAAGCGUGGGGAGCGAACAGG
This 253-nucleotide ribosomal RNA is filed under the name uncultured bacterium. RNAcentral describes it as "partial 16S ribosomal RNA". It matches the Rfam family "Bacterial small subunit ribosomal RNA", at positions 524 to 776 of the family's 1533-position model. The record is from RNAcentral.